GUGCUCACUUCCGCAGCACAUAUACUAAAAUUGGACAGAUACAGAGAAGAUUAGCAUGGCCCCUGAACAAGGAUGACAGGCAAAUUCGUGAGGCAUUCCAUAUUAAA
RNAcentral lists this small nuclear RNA (107 nucleotides) under Zalophus californianus (California sea lion). The record is from RNAcentral. Lineage: Eukaryota; Metazoa; Chordata; Mammalia; Carnivora; Otariidae.